AGAGAACUACGAGCACAAACGCUUAAAACUCUAGGGACUUGGCGGUACCUCAAACCCACCUAGAGGAGCCUGUUCUAUAACCGAUAAUCCACGAUUUACCUCACCAUCUCUCGCCAACCAGCCUAUAUACCACCGUCACCAGCUUACCCUAUGAAGGAUACAAAAGUAAGCAAAACAAUAUAAAUCAUUAACAAGUCAGGUCAAGGUGUAGCUAACUGAGAUGGAAGAAGUGGGCUACAUUUUCUAUAUUAGAAAUAAACUCACGGAAAGGAACUAUGAAACAGUCCUAAAAGUCGGAUUUAGCAGUAAACUGUGAACAGAGAGCCCAG
RNAcentral lists this ribosomal RNA (329 nucleotides) under Actinemys marmorata (Northwestern pond turtle). RNAcentral describes it as "partial 12S ribosomal RNA". The record is from RNAcentral. Lineage: Eukaryota; Metazoa; Chordata; Testudines; Emydidae.